Molecule: ribosomal RNA, 467 nt
Filed under: Selenomonas sp. oral taxon F19
Lineage: Bacteria; Bacillati; Bacillota; Negativicutes; Selenomonadales; Selenomonadaceae
Description: bacterial SSU rRNA
Rfam family: Bacterial small subunit ribosomal RNA
Source: RNAcentral
GACGAACGCUGGCGGCGUGCUUAACACAUGCAAGUCGAACGGGAUGAUCUUAAAGCUUGCUUUUAGAGAAUCUAGUGGCAAACGGGUGAGUAACACGUAGACAACCUGCCGACAGGAUGGGGACAACAUUCCGAAAGGAAUGCUAAUACCGAAUGAAGUCAGAGAAGGGCAUCCUUUUCUGAUGAAAGAUGGCCUCUUUUUAUGCUAUCACCUGUUGAUGGGUCUGCGUCUGAUUAGCUAGUUGGUGAGGUAACGGCUCACCAAGGCGACGAUCAGUAGCCGGUCUGAGAGGAUGAACGGCCACAUUGGGACUGAGACACGGCCCAGACUCCUACGGGAGGCAGCAGUGGGGAAUCUUCCGCAAUGGGCGCAAGCCUGACGGAGCAACGCCGCGUGAGUGAAGAAGGUCUUCGGAUCGUAAAGCUCUGUUGACGGGGACGAACGUGCGGAGUGCGAAUAGCGCUUUG